AUACGGAAGGGGCAAGCGUUGUUCGGAAUCAUUGGGCGUAAAGGGCGCGUAGGCGGUUUCAUAUGUCCGCUGUGAAAAAACACGGCUUAACCGUGUUCCGUCGGUGGAAACUGUGAGACUUGAGGCUGGGAGGGGCCGGUGGAAUUCCCCAUGUAGCGGUGAAAUGCGUAGAGAUGGGGGAGAACACUCGUGGCGAAGGCGGCCGGCUGGACCAGUUCUGACGCUGAGGCGCGAAAGCGUGGGGAGCAAACAGGAUUAGAUACCCCGGUAGUCC
RNAcentral lists this ribosomal RNA (274 nucleotides) under uncultured bacterium. RNAcentral's name for it is "partial 16S ribosomal RNA". It matches the Rfam family "Bacterial small subunit ribosomal RNA", at positions 523 to 796 of the family's 1533-position model. The record is from RNAcentral.